This 315-nucleotide unclassified non-coding RNA is filed under the name uncultured fungus. RNAcentral's name for it is "partial contains small subunit ribosomal RNA, internal transcribed spacer 1, and 5.8S ribosomal RNA". The stretch from base 1 to 73 matches the Rfam family "Eukaryotic small subunit ribosomal RNA", at positions 1759 to 1831 of the family's 1831-position model. Lineage: Eukaryota; Fungi. The record is from RNAcentral.
UCAAACUUGGUCAUUUAGAGGAAGUAAAAGUCGUAACAAGGUUUCCGUAGGUGAACCUGCGGAAGGAUCAUUAACGAGUUUGAAAGGGGUUGUAGCUGGCCUUCACAGGCAUGUGCACGCCCUGCUCAUCCACUCUACACCUGUGCACUAUCUGUGGGUUUCGAGCGUUGUGCGGGCCUUCACUGGCUCGUGCAGUAAUCGGGCCUACGUUUAUUACAAACUCUUCAGUAUCAGAAUGUGUAUCGCGAUGUAACGCAUCUAUAUACAACUUUCAGCAACGGAUCUCUUGGCUCUCGCAUCGAUGAAGAACGCAGC